Molecule: long non-coding RNA, 4303 nt
Organism: Zalophus californianus (California sea lion)
Lineage: Eukaryota; Metazoa; Chordata; Mammalia; Carnivora; Otariidae
Exons: 3
Source: RefSeq, a predicted model, not a curated record
AGGGGAGACGGAGGGGGAAAGAGUCUGAGCAGCAGAAGAGCUACAGAAGAAAAGGAAAUGAUACAUCUGCUCACAACUCUGAACUUGCAAAGAAACUCCCUCAAACUAGCCAACGGGGAUGAAGAAAAAGACCCCAAAUCAGCUACCUGUGGAUACUUUCGAAAAGAAAGGGAUGUAGCAAAAUCCUGGCAGAACACACAGGCCCUGGAGAGAUGAAUAAAACACUCAAAUGUAGCACCAGAUCGACCACUCAAGACCUAACAUGCUUCCUCAGUCAUGGAUGCACGCUUCCUCAGUCAUGGAUGCACGCAGGACAAACCCACAUAUUAACAACAAUACCAGCAUGGAUGGCUCCAAACACAAUAAACAAGUACACCAAAAGAUACAGCAUUUGUGUAACAUCACUAAGGAAAACAAAAACGGGCCAAAAGAGACUUGAACUUCUCCCCCCAGGAAAAAAGGAAAAGCAUUUAUGACAUCUCCUUAGAGAGGCAUCACUUUGCUUUCUCAUCAACAGACAGAAAUAGCACACCCUACGGUGUGCAAAGUCCACACGAGCCAUUCAAAUCCACAUUAAGAAACCGGUGUCUGCCUCGAGCAUCUGACAGCGUGCGCCACCAACCUGAACCGUGUCCCUUGGCCAGGCGUGCAACCUCAGCCCUCCAGUCAGAGACUCGAUGCUGGGAAACAGGUAGCACGACAAAUGGGCACAAAAUCCUGCCAAGACAAUGGAUUCCAGGGCCAGAAAGAAGCCAAUGGUAGAUAUCGUGAAUUCCUAUCUAGCGAGUAUUUCGUCAAGUUUGCCCGUUGAAAAGAAAAAUAAUUGGUCCGAGAGCUGUAAUUGUAUUAUGUUUAAUAUUCAUGGUUGGGUUUGGAGGGCUGUUCCAACACUCCCUCUCUCCAGCCCCUCUCUAAUGAAAAUCACACCCUAGGAGUCGGCUCUAGCCCGCCAAUUAAAAUAAAAGACACCAGAACCUUCCAAAGACUCCAGCAGAGGAGCAUCCAUCUGAUGGGCAGGAUAACGUGCUGGAACUGAGAGGGAGGCACGCUCUGGUUGGUCCUGUGCUAAGAGCUUUGAAUAACUUAUUAUAACACUUGCAGAUGGAGCAAACACAACAUUUACGCCCCGCUCACUCUGUCUCUGACAGCGGGCAACAGCACACCACCACUUCAUAUUUGUCGGGGCCAGAAGUAAGCUCUGAGACUCUUUAGCUGGGGGUCAUCACUCAGGGCUCGCCUCCCAUUGGUUUGGAUUAAAUAGUCCCGAAUGAUAAUAAGGCAAACUGUAUUUGAUGGCAAAGAUGAAGCCUAUUCAGAUUCUGGCUCGGCAGUUUCAUUUAGAAGGACCUGACCUGAAGCUAUAUUUCUAUCCAGAAAAUAGAGGGAACAAAUAAGAAAACAUUAACAUGGAGCCUUUUUUAUUAAAGACCAAAUUAAUCAGAAAAGCUAGUGUUUUUUGUUGUUGUUGUUGUUUUUCCAAGAAACCAAUACAUGAUUCUGUUUUGUCCUGUUGAACCUGGGCUAUUAGAGAAUCUUAAAUAUAACCUUAUAUGCCAGAAUCAAGAGCUUUAUCUCUGCAGCACUGACGAUGGCCUCUGGUGAAGGAUUCACUGUCAACAGCAACUAGAAGAACAUACAAUUUUAAGUAGAACGAGCCAGUUUAAUUUUGCAACUCUAGGCUCUGCUCAGAGCUCUGCAUUUUAAAGCUGUAUCUCUGAGGUUUGGAGUUCCCUCGGACUGCUCACUUGACCUUCCUGACCGCUUCCUCAGUGGGGCAGCACUAGAUGGCCUUGGAAAGCUCUGUGAACAUCUUGCGAUUCCCAGCAAGCCAGUCCGCCGUGAUGCCAGUGGUGGGCAAUAAUGGUGAUGUAUGUACCCCGCCCCCAAAAAUAAGGCACAUGAUCCCACAUUGGAAACGUGGAAAUAUUUAGCUUAUUUUAAUAUCCUUUUAGAUUUUAAAUUUCAAUCAGAUGGCUAUACCUAGAAUAACCGCUCUAUUUUAUGGUCAACUGAUUUUCAACAAUGGUGCUGAACAGUCCGACAGGGCAAAGAAUGGUCUUUCAACAGAUAGUGCUGGACAUCCAUGCAAAAGAAUGAGGGUGGGCUCCCACCUCACAGCAUAUACAAAAAUCAACUGUAACUGCAUCGGGACCUCAAUGGAACAGCCAAAACUAGAAAAAUUCUUGGAAGAAAACUUAUAUUAAAGCAGAUCUUCAUGACCCUGGGCUAGGAAAUGGCCUCUUCAGUGUGACACCAACAGCACUAGUGAAAGAACAAAACAGAUAAACUGAACUUCAUCAAAAUUAAAAACUUCCGUGCUUCAAAAGACACCCCCGAGAGAAUGAAGGGACAGCCCACCGAUUGGGAAAAAAAUACUUACAAAUCAUAUCUGAUAAAGGCUUGGCAUCUCGAAUCUUAUGAAGGACUCUUACAACUCAAUAAAUAAAAAGACAAGUAACCCAGCUAAAAAAACAGGCCAAGGAUCUGAAUGGACACUUAUCCAACGAGGCCAAAAGCACAUGAAAGAUUGUUCAACACCAUUAGCCACCAGGAGAAUGAAAAUCAAAACCACGAUGAGCUGCCACUUCACACCUGUUACGCGAUAAUUAGAGACAAGAGCGAGGACUGGCGAGGAUGUGAAGCAAUGAGAACCGUCGCCCACUGCCGGUGGGACUGUCCCAUGGUGCAGCCACUUUUUGAAAAGAGUCUGGAAGUUCCUGAAAAGGUUCAACAUUGAGUUACCAUAUAAGCCAGCAAUUCCACUCCUCAGUUUAUAGCCAAGAAAACUGAAAACCUACGUCUACACAGACAUUUGUACUUGAAUGAUACAGCAGUAUUUGUAAUAGUCAAAAAGUGGAAACAACCCAAGUGUUCAUUAACUGAUGAACGAAUAAAUGUGGUAUAUUCAUACGAUGGCAUACUAUUUGGCCAUAGAAGGAAUGAAGUAGUGAUUCAUGCUACAAUGCAAGUUUAACUUGGAAACGUUAUGUUAAGUGGAAGAAGCCAGUCAUGAAAGGUCGCAUUUUAUAGGAUUCCGUUUAUAUGAAAUGUCCAAAACAGAUUCAUAGAGACAGAAAAUAGAACAGUGGUUGCCUAGAGCUGGAGGAGCCAGAGGGAAAUGCGGUGUGGCUGCUAGUGGGUACAGGUUUCUUUUUAGGGUCAUGGUGAUGGCUGCAUGACCUUGUGAAUGUCAUACAAUUUAACUUUGUGGAUUGUACAAUUUAAAUUGGCAAAUUGUAGGCAUGUGAAUUUAUCUCAAUAAAGCUAAAAAUUUAAAAACUCAUCUUGAGAUUCCAGGGCGAGAAAGGCAGUGGGAACUGUUGGUGCAGUGACGGUCGCCUUGGCAGCCCUCUCCCAUCCUGACAUAGGCCCUUAGCACCAACUCCCACUUAGAUUCUCCCUGCAGAGCACUGAUGAGCUGCUCUGUUCCAGAUCCCCGAUUUCAUGGUGGGGAAUGAGCAGGUCGCUGAUGAGGAGACUGAGAACAGACAGAAUAGAAAGGGGCCUCCAGUAACACAGCCCCCAACUGCCAACUACUCAUUAUUUAAAUCAUUGAAGAGAAAGUGGGAGUUCUGGUUCUGGCCAAGAAGAAGCCUGUUACUGCCUGUCUCCUGCUGGCCACAACCAAAUCCUCUGGACGAAACACAAAGCAAAUACCUGAGGACACUGAAGAGUCAACUCCGGGAUGAUGGGCUGUGGAGGAAGUGGCCGCAUGGGGAACGGGUUUCCACUUUUUUCCCCUCUUCUCUCAGCCAUGCCCCAAAUAUGAGCUCCAAGAGUUGUGUGGUGGUGUAAGAGCUCAAACUCCGAAAGAAACACCACCUUUCUGAAGAACCAAGGGAAAGGGCCCUUCCAGUCCCAAGAAUGUGUGUGUUGGGGAAGGGAUGUCUUUGUGGGGAUUUCCCCUGCUCUUUUCUCUUUUGCUUUGUUACCACAGAGCUGCAGGGUGGUAGUGAAACAGGCAGGGAAAACAGAGAAACCCUCACUUCUGGUCAGAGGCCCAAGAGAAAGGAGCUCCUGAAGGCUGGAAAGUGGUGGGACGAAGAGAGGAAGAAACUGAAGGAGAGCCUAUUACCGUCUGUACCAGACCCCACACAGCUCCCAGGCUUAUCUCCGAGCUGUGCGCAGGACGGCUCCAACGCGGUAGAGCAACGGCUCUGAGAUUUCAGCUCACACUGCCAUCUUCAGACGACCUGAAUAGACCUUUUUCCUGAAGACACAGAGAUGGCCAAUAGACACAUGAAAAGAUGCUCAAUAGACACAUGAAAAGAUGCUCAAUACCACUUAUCAGGGAAAUGCAAAU